UGGUGAACAAGUAUAUAAUGGGGUGUUCGUGUGCAUUAGUUUUGGAGUGCUGGUGCAUUAGCUUACUUUCCAGGGUUACCAUCUGAGUGAAGAAGCAAAGCUCUGUUUUUUGACUUACUUCUAUUCAUGUGUGAGUUCAAUACCCGGCCCCAUCUUAUGCUUCUGGAACAACACUGGAAACCUAACUCCCGAAAUCAGAACUUGUUGGGCCAGUAUUGGAUUCUGCGGAAGAUCUUUAUUCAGCUACAACUUCUACUUAAACACUAGCACCUUAACCUCUCUAUACUGAAGUACACCUCGCUUCAGCUGAAGACGGGGGUGAAGACAGGCUCACACUUGUCGGCUUGCCCUUACUUAUUCAGGCUACUUUCCC
Molecule: long non-coding RNA, 373 nt
Filed under: Musa acuminata (dwarf banana)
Lineage: Eukaryota; Viridiplantae; Streptophyta; Magnoliopsida; Zingiberales; Musaceae
Description: long non-coding RNA (MACU_LNC010107)
Source: RNAcentral